UACGUAGGUGGCAAGCGUUAUCCGGAUUUAUUGGGUUUAAAGGGUGCGUAGGCGGGCUUUUAAGUCAGCGGUAAAAAUUCGGGGCUCAACCCCGUCCGGCCGUUGAAACUGGGGGUCUUGAGUGGGCGGGAAGAAGGCGGAAUGCGUGGUGUAGCGGUGAAAUGCAUAGAUAUCACGCAGAACCCCGAUUGCGAAGGCAGCCUUCCGGCGCCCUACUGACGCUGAGGCACGAAAGUGCGGGGAUCGAACAGG
Molecule: ribosomal RNA, 252 nt
Filed under: uncultured bacterium
Lineage: Bacteria
Description: partial 16S ribosomal RNA
Rfam family: Bacterial small subunit ribosomal RNA
Source: RNAcentral